This 964-nucleotide ribosomal RNA is filed under the name Bacillus cereus. RNAcentral's name for it is "bacterial SSU rRNA". It matches the Rfam family "Bacterial small subunit ribosomal RNA", at positions 34 to 976 of the family's 1533-position model. The record is from RNAcentral. Lineage: Bacteria; Bacillati; Bacillota; Bacilli; Caryophanales; Bacillaceae.
GGCAUUGCGGGGUGCUAUACAUGCAGUCGAGCGAAUGGAUUAAGUAAGCUUGCUUCCUUUAUGAAGUUUAGCGGCGGACGGGUGAAGUAACACGUGGGUAACCUGCCCAUAAGACUGGGAUAACUCCGGGAAACCGGGGCUAAUACCGGAUAACAUUUUGAACCGCAUGGUUCGAAAUUGAAAGGCGGCUUCGGCUGUCACUUAUGGAUGGACCCGCGUCGCAUUAGCUAGUUGGUGAGGUAACGGCUCACCAAGGCAACGAUGCGUAGCCGACCUGAGAGGGUGAUCGGCCACACUGGGACUGAGACACGGCCCAGACUCCUACGGGAGGCAGCAGUAGGGAAUCUUCCGCAAUGGACGAAAGUCUGACGGAGCAACGCCGCGUGAGUGAUGAAGGCUUUCGGGUCGUAAAACUCUGUUGUUAGGGAAGAACAAGUGCUAGUUGAAUAAGCUGGCACCUUGACGGUACCUAACCAGAAAGCCACGGCUAACUACGUGCCAGCAGCCGCGGGUAAUACGUAGGUGGCAAGCGUUAUCCGGAAUUAUUGGGCGUAAAGCGCGCGCAGUGGUUUCUUAAGUCUGAUGUGAAAGCCCACGGCUCAACCGUGGAGGGUCAUUGGAAAACUGGGAGACUUGAGUGCAGAAGAGGAAAGUGGAAUUCCAUGUGUAGCGGUGAAAUGCGUAGAGAUAUGGAGAACACCAGUGGCGAAGGCGACUUUCUGGUCUGUACUGACACUGGAGGCCGCGAAGGCGUGGGGGGAGCAAACAGGAUAGAAUACCCUUGUAGUCCACCGCCGUAAACGAUGGACUGCUUAGUGUAGAAGGGCUUCCGCCUUAUGCUGAAGUUACGCAAUAGCACUCCCGCCCUGGGGAGUUACGCCCGCAGCUAGAACUCAAGGAUGACGGGGCCCGCCACAAAGCGGGUGGACAUGGGGCUCGAUCGAGCACGCCGAGAACUUACCCA